AGCUGUAGCUCAGAGGUAGAGCAUCUGCUUUGAAUGCAGAAGCUCACAGGUUCAAUCCCCAGUUAGGGUUG
Non-coding RNA from Podarcis lilfordi (Lilford's wall lizard), 71 nucleotides. NCBI's taxonomy places the organism in Eukaryota, Metazoa, Chordata, Lepidosauria, Squamata, Lacertidae. The record is from the annotation of a GenBank genome assembly.